This 180-nucleotide ribosomal RNA is filed under the name uncultured Glomeromycotina. RNAcentral's name for it is "partial small subunit ribosomal RNA". Lineage: Eukaryota; Fungi; Glomeromycota. The record is from RNAcentral.
GGAUCAGUACGCUGGUCGUGCCUUCGGUAUGUACUGGUGUUACUGGUUCCUACCUUCUGACGAACCGUCAUGUCAUUAAUUUGGUGUGGCGGGGAAUCAGGACUGUUACUUUGAAAAAAUUAGAGUGUUCAAAGCAGGCCUAUGCCCGAAUACAUUAGCAUGGAAUAACGAAAUAGGACG